AACGAACGCUGGCGGCAGGCCUAACACAUGCAAGUCGAGCGAGACCUUCGGGUCUAGCGGCGGACGGGUGAGUAACGCGUGGGAACGUGCCCUUUGCUACGGAAUAGCCCCGGGAAACUGGGAGUAAUACCGUAUGUGCCCUUCGGGGGAAAGAUUUAUCGGCAAAGGAUCGGCCCGCGUUGGAUUAGGUAGUUGGUGGGGUAAUGGCCUACCAAGCAGACGAUCCAUAGCUGGUUUGAGAGGGUGAUCAGCCACACUGGGACUGAGACACGGCCCAGACUCCUACGGGAGGCAGCAGUGGGGAAUCUUAGACAAUGGGGGAAACCCUGAUCUAGCCAUGCGGCGUGAGCGAUGAAGGCCUUAGGGUUGUAAAGCUCUUUCAGGUGGGAAGAUAAUGACGGUACCACCAGAAGAAGCCCCGGCUAACUCCGUGCCAGCAGCCGCCGUAA
RNAcentral lists this ribosomal RNA (449 nucleotides) under uncultured bacterium. Its description in RNAcentral is "partial 16S ribosomal RNA". It matches the Rfam family "Bacterial small subunit ribosomal RNA", at positions 29 to 523 of the family's 1533-position model. The record is from RNAcentral.